UACAGAGGGUGCAAGCGUUGUUCGGAAUUAUUGGGCGUAAAGCGCGUGUAGGCGGCUUUGCAAGUCGGGUGUGAAAGCCCUCAGCUUAACUGAGGAAGUGCGCCCGAAACUGCUUGGCUUGAGUACCGGAGAGGAUGGCGGAAUUCCCCAAGUAGAGGUGAAAUUCGUAGAUAUGGGGAGGAACACCGGUGGCGAAGGCGGCCAUCUGGACGGAUACUGACGCUGAGACGCGAAAGCGUGGGGAGCAAACAGG
RNAcentral lists this ribosomal RNA (253 nucleotides) under uncultured bacterium. RNAcentral describes it as "partial 16S ribosomal RNA". It matches the Rfam family "Bacterial small subunit ribosomal RNA", at positions 524 to 776 of the family's 1533-position model. The record is from RNAcentral.